Molecule: long non-coding RNA, 5763 nt
Organism: Harpia harpyja (harpy eagle)
Lineage: Eukaryota; Metazoa; Chordata; Aves; Accipitriformes; Accipitridae
Exons: 3
Source: RefSeq, a predicted model, not a curated record
GUAAGGCAACAGUAAGCAAAAUAAUUCCAUUAUAAAUGAGUAUAUAUGAUGCAGUUCCAUAACUCUUAUUGUACAGGAAUGAGCAACAUUAUUUCCCUAAUUUGUGUAGAAAAACUGGCUUGCCAGUUCUUGUCAAAAGGCCAUAUAUUGAAAAUGUGGAAUAUCGAUUGAUCCUUGGAAUUAUGCAAGCUAACAUGAUGGUAGAGUUGGCUUCAGUAUUCAGGUAGAGACAGAAUGGUUUUGAAGUUGACAGUGAUUCCCUUUUUCAAAGGGGUAAAAUAUAAUUACGCUGUGUCCUUCAUGUGUUCUGAUCUUCUUUUCUUGUGGCUGUAAACUGACACUUGUCAAAAGUGUAUCUGUGUAGUAGCAUUUCUGUAUUUUACAUGCAUACCAAUGAGUGUAUUGAACACAAAUGCUAGGGAUGUCAUAAGGUAAACAGCCUUUUUUCUUAACAGCUUUGACUUUUCAAGUACUUGCAGAAAGCUUUGAGAAAGCAUUCCUUGAUAUAUUGAUUGAUCUGUGGGGCAUACAGUGUUUCAUGCAAAUGAGGUGUAAAAUAACCUGCAGACGUCCAUAUUUUAAAAAGUGUAUGCAGAUAGUAAUUGCUAUGCCCUUUCCUAUGAACUGGGUUUCUAUUAAUGUGUGUUUUCUGUGGUUCCAUGGGAAGCUGCUGUUACUGCAGGGUUCUGUUUCAGAGUCUUGAACAGAUGUGUAUUCACACUCUUUUUCACUUUAACCUGUCCCUGAAUUAGGAGCGUGCAAAAUACAUGCACUGACUAGCUCUGAGCACUGGUGGUUUGAGCUUCAGCUUUUAAUGUCCUUGACUCUGACUAAUCAAUAGCAAGUGAAACAACUACAGCAUCAGCAGCAGUACUGUAAAAGGAAACGUCUGUUGGAUAUUGUGCUGGAAGACUUGAGGGCAAUGACUCUCCUUGAGAAAGCUGCAAUAUUUUCUUCUUAAGAGUGCUGAGCACAAAUGUUUCAUUUUCUGCUGCCUGCUUGGAAAAUGAGCGCAUCUUCCAAUGUAUCAUACCAGGAAAUAAAAUAAAAACUCCAAACUAAGGAAAAACAGAUUAAGAUAUGAAAUGAUCCUUUUUAGCAAUGUAGAGGACUGUUAGCCCAAAAUAUUUUUGGCCUCUAAAAUGCUGAGUAGACAAAGUUUUACUAUGUCUUGGUUCUAACUCAUUUCACACUGAGAACAGCUUUAUAGGGUUCUAUACUGAAGUACAUAUAAUUCUGUUUGACCCCCUUUCUCAUUUUAUGAACUUGUAGAUCAAUGAAACAAACCAUUAAGUAGAUUGAAUGCUGCCUGCAACACUAAUGUUAAUGGUUCCGAUUUUAUUAAGCCCGUUUGGAAAUCUCAUACAGGUGGCAGCAUCCAUAAAAUGACAAACUAUGUAUCCUUAUCUGUGGAGCAUAAAUUCAAACAUUAGAGGAAAAGCUAGUGAUAGUGGAAAAGAAGUCUUUCUAAGGUAUUGCGGUAUUUUGGAGAAGUGCAAAGGAGAGCAAAACCUCUAUGUUUUGGGUUACUAUAAAUAGUCCUGAGGUUAAUAUGAUAUUGUAUUAUGUACUGCCUUCCUGUUGUUGUAAGCAACUCAAGUGCCUAAGAGGGUGAAGACUCUUUAUCUUGAUGUAUAACUUCAUGGGAUAGACUGUUUAAUCUCUUCUGGUUCUAGUUUUUCCAAUUACUAAGUAAAUUCAGUUAUUGGAAAAUCUAAUCUGGAAAGAGAGACUAAUGUGGAACUGAGAUCCAGAAUUUUCUGGGAAUCCCUGGCCUCUAAUAAGUUGAUAGUGUCCAAGUCUGUGUGUUUUCAGGUCUUUGGUUUUCAUUUGUUUGUCUUCUAUCCAUGCUUUUAUCUUUAGGUAAGAAAAGUAAUAUUUACAUAUGUCAUUAGGGCUCUUAAUGACAUGAAUGAAAAAUACUGUUUUAGUGCCUCAUGGGGUAAAAGUGAUGUUUAGAAAUAAAGAAAAAGUUGUAUUAAAUAUUUAUGUUACUGUGCUCUGAAACACAAGGCAGUAUUAAGCCUGGUGCAUACAAAAUCUGCAAAAUCCUAAGAAAAAAUAUGGAUUGCUUCAGACAACUUUAUCUUCUGCUGCUGUGUAGGCAUUGCUUUAGGGAGGCAAGACAUUAUUUUUCUUUGUGCAAUAAGUCUUCUCCAGAAACCUAUCCAGAAGCCUCUCCUUGCUUUCCAAUAAAAAUGAGGUGACAUUUUGUCCUCAUUUUGCUACAGCAUUAACCAACACUGCUCUUUGAAGUAGUGGCUUGGAUCCAAGAAGCAAAUAAAACUAGGAAUGAAAUGUUUCAUUUAAUUUUCUACUUGAAAUCAGAAACUGAAAAAUUGGAUAAGAAUACCUUCUUAGGUAAUGCAGCUACAUCUUCUCUUUGCUUUCCUCCCUUCCACUCAGCAGUUUGAACUUUCUCCAUAUAAAUCACUGUUCAUUUAAAAAGAUCAGAGAUACAUGUUGUGUUGUGCUUGAUUUCCUCCAAGCUGGAAAAAGUAAAAAUGUAAAUUGAUUUUUGUUUCAAAAUACUCUGUUUGGAUCAAGGCCCCAGGUAACAGUCUGCUUAGGAUAAAUGAUAUGUACUUGGUGAAGAGAGAAAGUGUAAUGAGACUUAUCAUAGAAACUUUCAAUUGCUCAACACUUCUUUUGCUUGUGCUUUCCCUUGAGUGCUUGGGUUUACAUACAUGAUCCCCAAAUUUAUGCAACUCAUAUGUAGAGACAUAUUUGGAGGGUGGGAUGUGAGUAUAUGAAACUUAGUUUUGAAUUCAGUUAAGUCAUCAUUACAGGAAACUUUUAUUUACUCUGGAAGAAUUUAGGUCAGGUUUGUAAUGACCAAGAAAGUUUGACUGCAGACCUCCAAUUUAUGUACAACUCAUUGGAAUAUAUUAUUUCAAAUCCUGUUGGAAUAAAAAGGAUUUCAGACAACUAGAAUUUAUCAUCUCGCUUUGUGAAAAAAAGUUCAGAAUAUGACCAUGUCAUAACAUUUUCCUCCCUGAAUGGCUUAGGUGAAAGCUUGUAGGGAACAUAGCCAGUGAGAAGGGGUGUGAUUGAGAUUGUUUGGGACAGGUAGAAAUCGAGCCCAUGGAUAUGUGACUAUCACCGUAACAGUAAUGUUCCAAAUAUGGCAAUGAAUGAGAUGUUAUGAUGCCAUUAACUGCUCAGUUCUGUGUUGUGUGCUGGUUAAAGGAGGAAAAAACCUGCCUUCUUUACAUAUUAAAAGGAUUGUGUUUAUGAAAGCCUCUUCUUUCAGAAUGAUUUCAGUAUAUAUAAACAUAUGGGGGUUUGCUAUUAUACUUUUAUUUUUAUGCUUUUUUCUCUAAUGAAUAGAAAAGCUAAAAACAGUUGGUCUUAAAGGCAUUUUAUCCAGCUCCCAAUGACAGUAAACUCUUAGGAAGUUCCGGAUCAUCCGGUAUCUGAGAUACAGAUCUGCAAGGCUCAUGAGAUAAUCAGCUGUGGUACUUCCAGAAAGCCAAUUGUAGGAUUAAAAAAAAUCCUCACUGUUGGCUCAACUGGAUCCAUAUUAAUAACAUAAUUCAAACUACACUUUCUGUAGCACAUUCUCUUUGGGGGAGAGCAGUUAGACUUAAAUUUGAUGUUCCCAAAAUAGUGUAUUGCAAAAUCAUUAAAAUGUUUGUUUUAAGACUAAUAAUGAACACAGUGCUCACUUCAAAACUCUCUGAAUGAAGAACUGAUAUUGGAAAUAAAGUAUCAGCAGGUUACAUUUUAAACUACUCAUUAUUUUCUUUAUUGUCUUGGACACAUUUGCAUCUAGGAGAGACAGAUACAUAAUGUUCCCUUAAAGGAUGAAUGAAGUUCUGUCAUUCCUUGUACAGGCAAGAUGGAUAGCUUUUUUUCUCUCUUCCACUUUUAUUUUGAGUUUUUUAUUUUUAUUCUUUAAUGUACUUUCCUCCGCAAGUCUGAGUGGCAGCUUACAUAACAGCAGUGGUUUUUUAAAACUAAUCUUAAACUCAGAAUCCAGUGCCCCAGCAGCAACUCAAGCCAAAAUCAGGCUUUUCCUCAACCUGCCUAACUGACUACUUUUGAACUCCGAGAAGCCAGAUGAGAGGUUGGCAGCUAGGACAUGAGAAAUCAUCUUCUGAAUACCCACUGCCCAUAAUAUUUUGCCUCUGUUAGCUCAAUAACUCCAAAUAGUGAGAGAUCUAGUGUACAAAUUGAGUCCACAUUGCCUGCUGCUUAAUGAAUUUGCAGCUUUUUCUACCUUCCCCAGAACCAUUUUUUUAAAGCACUUCUGUUCAGUUUCUGUGUCCUUAUAUUUCAGUCCUUUUUCCUUGCUCCAUUUCACCUGUGUCCUGUCAGAGCCUUCCUUUUCCCCCCACCCUCCACCACCCCACAAUUAUUCUGUAUUUCUGUGUCCUUUUCUUUUCUACGUACUUUACCUGGUUGCUUUUCAUGUUUCAGUGAAUAAAGUCACUAGAGUCUUUCUUUCUACCUUUUUGUUUUCUUUCUUUUUUUUUUUUUUUACUCCCUUUUAUUAACCAUUUCUUUCUUUGAAAGAUGUAUUUAUUGUGAUUAAUUCUUGUGCCUUCAAUAGGACUUGCAGACUCCCUUGUGGACUUGUUACUUCUGUAGACUGCUCAGGUCCUAUGUCUCAGGCUUAUUCCAUGCUAGUUGUUUUAGACAUGCCUGUUGACUACUAGAGUUACUAAUAUACAUGCAGAUGCAACUAAAAAUAUAAGCAGAUCUAUUGUCCACCUGUGUUUUGCAUAUUACUGUACACUAAAUAGUAGUUCAUCAGUUAAGAACUUCUCAAAUGAAAAUUCAGAGGUGACUUUAAACACAGCAAUGUGAUUUCACUGUGAUUGCAGCAGACCAGGUAAGGAACAAACUAAAAGGCCAGAAAGCUUUCACUUACAAUGAUGUGCUUUAGUGUUAAAAGUGUGGUAUAGUUGUGUGUUUUUAUGUAAAUACUUGUAUCUGUCCUUUGACUUAGUGUCUAAGAAUGUAUGCAAUCUCACAGAUUUAAGAAAACAAAAUUCCACAGCGGAGGUCUGAAUGGCCUAGGAAAUGUGAAGGGAAGGUAGCAACCAUGCAGUAGCUUUCAAUUCUAGACUACCAAAACCCUGAUGAUACUUCUCUUUUUCUGUCUAACCUGUAGCUUCCUAACAUCCUUCAGAAAAUUACUUAGGAGAUAAUGAUUAACUACAGUGACUCAGUAAAAAUACUGCAGAAAGGCCUGGAAAAGCCUGCCACCUUUGUACCAUGUGCAGAAAUGGAUCUUCAGUCUUCCUCAAACUCUGUUAGACAGAGUCUGUAACAUACAUAUACAGUCAUGAAGGUCAAUGUAUUUUACAGCUGUGCAUUUUUCUUGACAUUAGAGUAGGCUUUUAGGUCUGUGAUGUUAAUACACUGUGUGAUGAACUGAAUUUUCAAUUAUAUGGUUUUGGUUUUGAAUUCUCCCAUUGAGAAUUUCAUGGUAUGGCAAAACUAUAUUAAUUCACUUUAAGAUAUUUUAUGUGUGGGAGAGGAGGCAGUAGAAGUAGCAAGGACCUGAAUGAUGUAAGCUUCAGUAAGAGAGCAGAUUCAAACAAUAAUGUAGUGUUCCUUAAAGGUUCUUAAGAUACUCAUCACUACAUGUGAAUAUGACCAUAAGAAACUCAUCUACUCAAUGUCAGUCUAGCCUAGAGCCUUCCUCUCCAGAACAAGUAAUGGUGACUGUCAACAGUGAUGUACAUAAUAACUCAACUGCAUCAGAUAACAACAGACUGGGUUUUGUUUUAUUUCAUAAGAUCCCACUGGAUG